GUUGCUUCGUUUGAUAAUGGGGUAGCUGGUUUCAAUCGUUGGUUACUCUUAAUGAGAAGCAUAGAAUUAUGGGAAUUUGCCAGUUCUAAACAGCAUGAUGUUGUUUAUCUAUUGCAUUGUGUUACCUGUCUGCUGGUAUAUUU
Gossypium hirsutum (cotton) is the source of this 143-nucleotide non-coding RNA. Lineage: Eukaryota; Viridiplantae; Streptophyta; Magnoliopsida; Malvales; Malvaceae. The record is from Rfam.